GGGCCCGCACAAGCGGUGGAGCAUGUGGUUUAAUUCGAUGAUACGCGAGGAACCUUACCAGGGUUUAAAUGCAGAACGACAGGGGUGGAAACACCCCCUUCUUCGGACGGACUGCAAGGUGCUGCAUGGUUGUCGUCAGCUCGUGCUGUGAAGUGUCGGGUUAAGUCCCAUAACGAGCGCAACCCCCAUUUCUAGUUGCCAGCGGUUCGGCCGGGGACUCUAGAGAAACUGCCAGCGUAAGCUGUGAGGAAGGUGGGGAUGACGUCAAAUCAUCACGGCCCUUACAUCCUGGGCCACACACGUGCUACAAUGGUAGGGACAACAGGUUGCCAACCCGCGAGGGUGAGCCAAUCCCAAAACCCUAUCUCAGUUCGGAUCGGAGUCUGCAACUCGACUCCGUGAAGUUGGAAUCGCUAGUAAUCGCGGAU
Molecule: ribosomal RNA, 428 nt
Filed under: uncultured bacterium
Lineage: Bacteria
Description: bacterial SSU rRNA
Rfam family: Bacterial small subunit ribosomal RNA
Source: RNAcentral